AAAAAAGAUAGUGGGGAAAACUAUUAAACUAAGAAUGGUGCUCACACCUUUAUAGAUUGAUCUUCUUUUCAGAGAACCACACACAUGGCGACACAGUCCACUACCAACACGUCCUAAAGUCAUUGUUCCUCUCAGGUGUUCUGCUUCUUUUCUUUUCUUUUCUUUCCUUUCUUCUUAAACACCAUUUUUCCAUAUUAAAAUUUUAUCGACGCCUCAGUUUUUGCUGAAAUGAACAACAUUAAAUCAUCCAUAGACGACGAUCCACAACUGCAAAACUAUUUCUUCAAAUAUAAUCCGUUUUUGUAACCCGGUGUUUCUUUAAUCCAUAAUUUUGUACUUUAAUGCUUUAAACAUGAACUAUUUGUGCCAAUCAUCUUUUUUGGUAAAGCAAAUAAUAGAGGUAUAAAGAAAAAAAGUCCCCUAUUUUUGGAAAAAUAAAAAGGAAAACCUCUGAAGACACUAUCCAAUGAAAAAGAUGC
Molecule: small RNA, 479 nt
Filed under: Arabidopsis thaliana (thale cress)
Lineage: Eukaryota; Viridiplantae; Streptophyta; Magnoliopsida; Brassicales; Brassicaceae
Description: putative long intergenic non-coding RNA
Source: RNAcentral